GAUGAACGCUGGCGGCGUGCUUAACACAUGCAAGUCGAGCGAAGCACUUAGGAAAGAUUCUUCGGAUGAUUUCCUUUGUGACUGAGCGGCGGACGGGUGAGUAACGCGUGGGUAACCUGCCUCAUACAGGGGGAUAACAGUUAGAAAUGACUGCUAAUACCGCAUAAGACCACGGUACCGCAUGGUACAGUGGUAAAAACUCCGGUGGUAUGAGAUGGACCCGCGUCUGAUUAGGUAGUUGGUGGGGUAACGGCCUACCAAGCCGACGAUCAGUAGCCGACCUGAGAGGGUGACCGGCCACAUUGGGACUGAGACACGGCCCAGACUCCUACGGGAGGCAGCAGUGGGGAAUAUUGCACAAUGGAGGAAACUCUGAUGCAGCGACGCCGCGUGAAGGAUGAAGUAUUUCGGUAUGUAAACU
Molecule: ribosomal RNA, 421 nt
Filed under: uncultured bacterium
Lineage: Bacteria
Description: bacterial SSU rRNA
Rfam family: Bacterial small subunit ribosomal RNA
Source: RNAcentral